AACGUAGGACGCAAGCGUUAUCCGGAGUUACUGGGCGUAAAGCGCGCGCAGGCGGAUUGUUAAGUUAGCCAUGAAAGCUCCCGGCUAAACUGGGAGAGGCUGGUUAAUACUGGCAGUCUAGAGUGAGUGAGAGGGAAGUGGAAUUCAGCGUGUAGUGGUGAAAUGCGUAGAGAUGCUGAGGAACACCAGAGGCGAAGGCG
RNAcentral lists this ribosomal RNA (200 nucleotides) under uncultured bacterium. RNAcentral describes it as "partial 16S ribosomal RNA". It matches the Rfam family "Bacterial small subunit ribosomal RNA", at positions 524 to 723 of the family's 1533-position model. The record is from RNAcentral.